This 406-nucleotide ribosomal RNA is filed under the name uncultured bacterium. Its description in RNAcentral is "partial 16S ribosomal RNA". It matches the Rfam family "Bacterial small subunit ribosomal RNA", at positions 30 to 526 of the family's 1533-position model. The record is from RNAcentral.
AUUGAACGCUGGCGGCAGGCCUAACACAUGCAAGUCGAACGAGUGGCGGACGGGUGAGUAAUGUAUGGGAAACUGCCUGAUGGAGGGGGAUAACUACUGGAAACGUUAGCUAAUACCGCAUACCAUACGUUGUGCCCAGUGGGGAUUAGCUAGUAGGUGGGCUAAAGGCUCACCAAGGCGACGAUCCCUAGCUGGUCUGAGAGGGUGACCGGCCACACUGGAACUGAGACACGGUCCAGACUCCUACGGGAGGCAGCAGUAGGGAAUAUUGGACAAUGGGCGAAAGCCUGACGCAGCAACGCCGCGUGAGUGAAGAAGGUUUUCGGGUCGUAAAGCACUGUUAUCGGGGAAGCGUUAUCUAAAGAGGAAGCACCGGCUAACUCCGUGCCAGCAGCCGCGGUAAUUC